GAUGAACGCUGGCGGCGUGCUUAACACAUGCAAGUCGAACGGAAAGGCCCUGCUUUUGUUGGGUGCUCGAGUGGCGAACGGGUGAGUAACACGUGUGUAACCUGCCCUUGUCUUUGGGAUAACUUCAGGAAACUGGGGCUAAUACCGGGGAGGAGCUCCUGAUCCAUGGUGGUGGUUGGAAAGUUUCGGCGGUUGUGGAUGGAUUCGCGGCUUAUCCGCUUGUUGGUCGGGUAGUGGCUUACCAAGGCUGUGACGGGUAGCCGGCAUGAGAGGGGGAACGGGGACAAGACGACUAAGAGACGCAGCAGAAUGCUAUGGGAGGCAGCAGGGGGGAGUAUGACAGAACGGGCGGGAGUGUGAGACAGCGACGCCGGGUGCGGGAAGACGGCUUACGGGUGAUAAACCACUGUCGCCGUAGACGAGGCGGGAGUGACGGUAAUUGAUAAAGAAGCACCGGCUAACUACGUG
Molecule: ribosomal RNA, 468 nt
Filed under: uncultured bacterium
Lineage: Bacteria
Description: partial 16S ribosomal RNA
Rfam family: Bacterial small subunit ribosomal RNA
Source: RNAcentral